CAAUAGCGUAUAUUAAAGUUGUUGCAGUUAAAAAGCUCGUAGUUGGACCUUGGACCUGGACAGGCGGUCCGCCUCACGGCGAGUACUGUCUUGCUGGUCUUUCCUCUUGGUGAUCUGUUGUUUCGGCAGCAGGGAACCAGGACCUUUACUUUGAAAAAAUUAGAGUGUUCAAAGCAGGCUCGACGCCGGAAUAUAUUAGCAUGGAAUAAUAAAAUAGGACGUGCGGUUCUAUUUUGUUGGUUUUUGGAAUCGCCGUAAUGAUUAAUAGGGACAGUCGGGGGCAUUAGUACUCACAUGCUAGAGGUGAAAUUCUUGGAUUUUGUGAAGACUAACUUCUGCGAAAGCGUUUGCCAAGGAUGUUUUCAUUAA
RNAcentral lists this ribosomal RNA (369 nucleotides) under uncultured eukaryote. RNAcentral's name for it is "partial 18S ribosomal RNA". It matches the Rfam family "Eukaryotic small subunit ribosomal RNA", at positions 592 to 976 of the family's 1831-position model. The record is from RNAcentral.